ACGAUGACCACUUCGGUGCGGAUUAGUGGCGAACGGGUGAGUACACGUGGGCAAUCUGCCCUUCACUCUGGGACAAGCCCUGGAAACGGGGUCUAAUACCGGAUAUGAGCCUGGGAGGCGUCGCCCGGGUUGUAAAGCUCCGGCGGUGAAGGAUGAGCCCGCGGCCUAUCAGCUUGUUGGUGAGGUAACGGCUCACCAAGGCGACGACGGGUAGCCGGCCUGAGAGGGCGACCGGCCACACUGGGACUGAGACACGGCCCAGACUCCUACGGGAGGCAGCAGUGGGGAAUAUUGCACAAUGGGCGCAAGCCUGAUGCAGCGACGCCGCGUGAGGGAUGACGGCCUUCGGGUUGUAAACCUCUUUCAGCAGGGAAGAAGCGCAAGUGACGGUACCUGCAGAAGAAGCGCCGGCUAACUACGUGCCAGCAGCCGCGGUAAUACGUAGGGCGCAAGCGUUGUCCGGAAUUAUUGGGCGUAAAGAGCUCGUAGGCGGCUUGUCACGUAGGGUGUGAAAGCCCGGGGCUUAACCCCGGGUCUGCAUUCGAUACGGGCUGGCUAGAGUGUGGUAGGGGAGAUCGGAAU
This 582-nucleotide ribosomal RNA is filed under the name uncultured Streptomyces sp. RNAcentral describes it as "bacterial SSU rRNA". It matches the Rfam family "Bacterial small subunit ribosomal RNA", at positions 66 to 667 of the family's 1533-position model. The record is from RNAcentral. Lineage: Bacteria; Bacillati; Actinomycetota; Actinomycetes; Kitasatosporales; Streptomycetaceae.